UUUAAUUAAAUUUUUGUUAAAUUAAAUUAAGUAUUAAAUGUUAAGUCAUUAAAUUAAAAAAAUUUGGCGGUAUUUUAUAUAAUUAGAGGAAUUUGUUAUGUAAUUGAUAAUACACGAUAAAAUUUACUUUAUAAAUUAAUCUUAUGUAUUGCUGUUUAUAAAAAUUUAUUAAAUAAAUUUUUAGGUAUUAAUUUAAAUUAUAAUUCAAGUCAAAGUGUAGGUUUUUAAAGAAUUAAAUGAAUUACAAUUUUAUAAAUAUUUAAUUAUUAAAUUUAAUUUUUAAUAUGAAAUUGGAUUUAAAAGUAAAUUUAAUUAAUUAAUUAAUUUGAAUAUUUUUUAAAAUAUGU
RNAcentral lists this ribosomal RNA (347 nucleotides) under Agelaia pallipes. RNAcentral describes it as "partial 12S ribosomal RNA". Lineage: Eukaryota; Metazoa; Arthropoda; Insecta; Hymenoptera; Vespidae. The record is from RNAcentral.